GCUGAAGUGGCGGAAUUGGCAGACGCGCCAGGUUCAGGACCUGGUCCCGAUUUAUCGGGAUAGGGGUUCAAGUCCCCUCUUCAGCACCA
RNAcentral lists this transfer RNA (89 nucleotides) under Candidatus Cloacimonadota bacterium. Its description in RNAcentral is "Candidatus Cloacimonetes bacterium (marine metagenome) tRNA-Leu". It matches the Rfam family "tRNA". From Rfam's summary of the family: Transfer RNA (tRNA) molecules are approximately 80 nucleotides in length. Their secondary structure includes four short double-helical elements and three loops (D, anti-codon, and T loops). The record is from RNAcentral. Lineage: Bacteria; Pseudomonadati; Candidatus Cloacimonadota.